AGAACCAACAGUAGAGCAGAGAGAGAGGUUAUCCUCCUCAGAACCAACAGUAGAACAGAGAUGUUAUCCUCAGAACCAACAGUAGAACAGAGAGGUUAUCCUCCUCAGAACCAACAGUAGAACAGAGAUGUUAUCCUCAAAACCAACAGUUAACACUGGACGGCUAGUGUCCUCUUUUCAUAAUUGAAUGGAAACGUAUGAAUGUCAAGGCAUUGCAUCAUUUAUAAUAAAUCAGACGGUAACAGGUCAUAUCAAACACCCUAAUCUCAAGUAUUUAGCCCCUUGGAUUUUGUUGUGUUAAAAUUGGAUUGGAAUGGAUUUGAUUGUGAUUUUAUUUAUUGUUCUACACAAAAUACAUUUCUACACAUUAAUAAAAACAAAUAACAAAAAUCAUUGCAUAAAAAUUCACCUCCUUUGUUUAAGCAAACCUAAAUGAGUUCAGGAGUAAAUUGUUGUUUAACAAAUUAUAAAUUACCUGUACUGUAUGAAAUAGUAGGGGUUGACAUGAUUCCUGAUUGACUACCCCUUCAUCUGUCCCCCAUACAUACGAAAGGUCCCUCGGUCAACUAUUGAAUUUCAAGCACAGAUUAAACUACAAAGACCAGGGAGCGUUUUUGAAAGUCUCAUUGCCACCCAGACACAACAAGUAUACAGUCCUCCUGAACGGAGGGCAGGAAGGAUAAUACCACGAGAGACCCUUGGUGAGUUUAAAACAGCUACAGAGUGUAAUGGCUGUGACAGGAGAUAACCGAGGACGGCUCAACAACUACAAAACAAGCAUCCUGUAUAUAACAAGGCACUGAAGUAAAACUUUUUUCUUCAAACACGGCAAAAGGAAUAAACAUUUUGGCAUAAAUGCUAAGUCUUAUGUUUGGGGCAAAUCCAACACGUCACUGAGUAACUGCCUCGUCCUAACCUGACACACCAGGCUACAUAAAACUGGAGUGCCUUACCAAGAUGACAUUGCAUGUUGCUGAGUGGCCUAGUUACAGUUUAGAGACUUAAAUCUGCUUGAAAAUAUGUAGACUUUUGCACAAUUGAGGUGUGGAAAGCUCUCAGGGGAAAGUUCAGUCCAGAGCGCAUCGCUGUGUUGCCUUUUUAUACACUUUCCUGUCUACGGAGUGACCUCAGCCACGGCUGGUGCCGUUUGAGAUUGAGGACGAUUAUUUAUUUUCAUGAGGAUGGCUUUAUUUCUAUUACAGCAUAUUGGAUGACUGUCAUUCAUAUUUCAUUCACCCAGUUCAAUGUAUCAUCGAUAUGUUUAGGCCACGACAUGAUACUCUAAUUUGACCUAUACCCAUCAUGAGAUUGCUACAACAGACUUAGAAUGAAAGUUUACAAUGCAGGUGAAAAGGUUGAGAGAAUAAUUUGAGUAAUCAAGGUGACAGCCAGUGAGAACAUUAAAUACUACCUCACACCCUCUUGCCUGCCUCUAGCGUGUAAUCAUUUGUUCUGUUUUGCUAAUAAAAGAGUUUCUAUUGGACAAAUUCAGGUAGGUCCCUCCCCAUUUCGUGCCAUUUGCUUAAGAAACGUUUUGUAACAGAAUCGUCAGAUUUAAACACCCGCCCAAUUUACCUUCAUUUUAUUCUUGAUAGAAAUAACGCCAUUCAUUGUCAUUUAUAAUCAAUAAUUUAUUUAACUAGGGAAGUCAGUUAAGAACACAUUCUUAUUUUCAAUGACGGCCUACCGGGGAACUGCCUUGUUCAGGGGCAGAACGACAGAUUUGUACUUGUCAGCUCGGGGAUUUGAACUUGCUCUAACCACGAGGCUACCCUGCCGCUAGGUAAAAUGAGUAAGCUUUUUGAAGAUAGCCUACAUAUAGUAACUGUUCUAGAUUAUUUUUCCAGUCCUAAAGAGGGUGAAACCAGUCCUAAAGAGGCCAAAUUAAAAUCAUAUCAACAUGAGAUGUGUUACGGCCCCUCGCCACAGUGAAAUAGACUAUAAAUGGCUGUUAUGCCCUAAUAACUUGCAGGGAUUGCCAUUUUAAAGACCCAAUCUAUAGGCCUUUAAAUGGCCAAACCUGCAGCCAU
Long non-coding RNA from Oncorhynchus tshawytscha (Chinook salmon), 2030 nucleotides. NCBI's taxonomy places the organism in Eukaryota, Metazoa, Chordata, Actinopteri, Salmoniformes, Salmonidae. The record is from Ensembl.